UGAAUGCUUCACAUAUGUAUAUAUCUCAAUGUAUUAUAGUUGAUUUUGGAGAAUAUCCGAGAACAUAACUAAAUAGAAUUUGAUGAAAUCUUGCCACUUUGCCAUCUGAGCAUUGCCUUUGUGCUAAAGGGAUGAGGUGGGUUGGUGUAAGAUUGCUUUGAAUAAGCCAGGCGGGCUACAAGUUUUACCUAGAGGUCUUUUCCAGCAACGGACAGUUCUAACACAGCUCCUAUGGCGGCAAACUCAGAAGAUCCAUCACUUAGCAUGCCAAAAAUCACAUCUUUUUCCUGUUCAUCGCCUAGGAAGGGGCACUUCAGGAAUACUGCUAUGUGCAAAGAUAAAUCAUGCCAAAAAGCAACUUGCAGCAUAUUUUGCUGAUGGGACAUCCCAUAUUGGAGAUGACAGUGACACCAACAUGAAGCUUCUUUGAUCAAUAAGGAAAAUCUCAAAGAUAUACCGGGCCCUAGGGACUGGGAUACUUUGUGAGGAGGAGGUUCUACAAGGUCGUAGGAAAUAAGAUUUUGAUCUGGUUUCAGG
This is a long non-coding RNA of Rosa chinensis, 537 nucleotides long. RefSeq lists it as uncharacterized. NCBI's taxonomy places the organism in Eukaryota, Viridiplantae, Streptophyta, Magnoliopsida, Rosales, Rosaceae. The record is from RefSeq and is a predicted model, not a curated record. The transcript has 5 exons.